RNAcentral lists this ribosomal RNA (386 nucleotides) under uncultured eukaryote. RNAcentral's name for it is "partial 18S ribosomal RNA". It matches the Rfam family "Eukaryotic small subunit ribosomal RNA", at positions 592 to 976 of the family's 1831-position model. The record is from RNAcentral.
CAAUAGCGUAUAUUAACGUUGUUGCAGUUAAAAAGCUCGUAGUUGGAUUUCUGGAUCGAACGCUUCGUCCGCCGCUGUGCGGUGUGUACUGAGGUUUUGUUUCGAUUCAUCCUUGCAGGGAAGCGAGUUCGAGAUUAAUUUGUCGGCUCGGGGAACUGCAUCUUUUACUGUGAAAAAAUUAGAGUGUUUAAAGCAGGCAUUUUGCUGUGAAUACAUUAGCAUGGAAUAAUAACAUAGGACUUUGGUUCUAUUUUGUUGGUUGGAGGCCAAGGUAAUGAUUAAUAGGGACAGUUGGGGGUAUUCAUAUUUAAUUGUCAGAGGUGAAAUUCUUGGAUUUAUGAAAGAUGAACUCAUGCGAAAGCAUUUACCAAGGAUGUUUUCAUUAA